GCUGGGUGUGGUGGCUCACACCUGUAAUCCCAGCAGUCUGGGAGGUUGAGGUGGGUGGAUCACCUGAGGUCAGGAGUUCGAGACCAGCCUGGCCAACAUGGUGAAACCCCAUCUCUA
RNAcentral lists this non-coding RNA (117 nucleotides) under Chlorocebus sabaeus (green monkey). The record is from Rfam by way of RNAcentral. Lineage: Eukaryota; Metazoa; Chordata; Mammalia; Primates; Cercopithecidae.